CCCCCUUUGGCGCAGUGGUCAGCGCGCUCCCUUAAACUGCUGCCCUCGGGCGGUAGAAACCAGACAGUUCCGACUGCGUUGGCGGGGAGAGGACCCGGGUUCGAAUCCUGGAAGGGGGA
Non-coding RNA from Fusarium irregulare, 119 nucleotides. The record is from the annotation of a GenBank genome assembly. NCBI's taxonomy places the organism in Eukaryota, Fungi, Ascomycota, Sordariomycetes, Hypocreales, Nectriaceae.